UACGUAGGGUGCGAGCGUUGUCCGGAAUUACUGGGCGUAAAGAGCUCGUAGGUGGUUUGUCGCGUUGUUCGUGAAAACUCACAACUCAAUUGUGGGCGUGCGGGCGAUACGGGCAGACUGGAGUACUGCAGGGGAGACUGGAAUUCCUGGUGUAGCGGUGGAAUGCGCAGAUAUCAGGAGGAACACCGGUGGCGAAGGCGGGUCUCUGGGCAGUAACUGACGCUGAGGAGCGAAAGCGUGGGGAGCGAACAG
RNAcentral lists this ribosomal RNA (252 nucleotides) under uncultured bacterium. RNAcentral's name for it is "partial 16S ribosomal RNA". It matches the Rfam family "Bacterial small subunit ribosomal RNA", at positions 524 to 775 of the family's 1533-position model. The record is from RNAcentral.